AUGAACGCUGACAGAAUGCUUAACACAUGCAAGUCAACUUGAACUUCGGUUUGGGUGGCGGACGGGUGAGUAACGCGUAAAGAACUUGCCUCACAGAUAGGGACAACAUUUGGAAACGAAUGCUAAUACCUGAUAUUAUGAUUAUAUGGCAUCGUAUAAUUAUGAAAGCUAUAUGCGCUGUGAGAGAGCUUUGCGUCCCAUUAGCUAGUUGGAGAGGUAACGGCUCACCAAGGCGAUGAUGGGUAGCCGGCCUGAGAGGGUGAUCGGCCACAAGGGGACUGAGACACGGCCCUUACUCCUACGGGAGGCAGCAGUGGGGAAUAUUGGACAAUGGACCAAGAGUCUGAUCCAGCAAUUCUGUGUGCACGAUGAAGUUUUUCGGAAUGUAAAGUGCUUUCAGUUGGGAAGAAAAAAAUGACGGUACCAACAGAAGAAGAGACGGCUAAAUACGUG
Molecule: ribosomal RNA, 453 nt
Filed under: uncultured bacterium
Lineage: Bacteria
Description: partial 16S ribosomal RNA
Rfam family: Bacterial small subunit ribosomal RNA
Source: RNAcentral